Molecule: ribosomal RNA, 794 nt
Filed under: uncultured cyanobacterium
Lineage: Bacteria; Bacillati; Cyanobacteriota
Description: bacterial SSU rRNA
Rfam family: Bacterial small subunit ribosomal RNA
Source: RNAcentral
UGCAGUCGAACGGAAUCUUUCGGGGUUUAGUGGCGGACGGGUGAGUAACGCGUGAGAAUCUGCCUUCAGGUUCGGGACAACAGCUGGAAACGGCUGCUAAUACCGGAUGUGCCGAGAGGUGAAAGCUUUAGUGCCUGGAGAUGAGCUCGCGUCUGAUUAGCUAGUAGGAGUGGUAACGGCACCCCUAGGCGACGAUCAGUAGCUGGUCUGAGAGGAUGAUCAGCCACACUGGGACUGAGACACGGCCCAGACUCCUACGGGAGGCAGCAGUGGGGAAUUUUCCGCAAUGGGCGCAAGCCUGACGGAGCAAGACCGCGUGAGGGAAGAAGGUCUGUGGAUUGUAAACCUCUUUUGACAGGGAAGAAGACAGUGACGGUACCUGUCGAAUCAGCCUCGGCUAACUCCGUGCCAGCAGCCGCGGUAAUACGGAGGAGGCAAGCGUUAUCCGGAAUUAUUGGGCGUAAAGAGUCCGUAGGUGGGUCACCCAGUCAGCUGUUAAAUAGUGAAGCUUAACUUCAUAGAGGCGGCUGAAACUGGUGGUCUAGAGUGUGGUACGGGUAGAGGGAAUUUCCAGUGUAGCGGUGAAAUGCGUAGAUAUUGGAAAGAACACCGGUGGCGAAAGCGCUCUACUGGGCCUGCACUGACACUGAGGGACGAAAGCUAGGGGAGCGAAAGGGAUUAGAUACCCCUGUAGUCCUAGUCGUAAACGAUGGAUACUAGGCGUUGCCCGUAUCGACCCGGGCAGUGUCGUAGCCAACGCGUUAAGUAUCCGCUGGGGAGUACGCUCCGCAAGA